RNAcentral lists this ribosomal RNA (465 nucleotides) under uncultured Klebsiella sp. RNAcentral's name for it is "bacterial SSU rRNA". It matches the Rfam family "Bacterial small subunit ribosomal RNA", at positions 338 to 795 of the family's 1533-position model. Lineage: Bacteria; Pseudomonadati; Pseudomonadota; Gammaproteobacteria; Enterobacterales; Enterobacteriaceae. The record is from RNAcentral.
CCUACGGGGGGCAGCAGUGGGGAAUAUUGCACAAUGGGCGCAAGCCUGAUGCAGCCAUGCCGCGUGUGUGAAGAAGGCCUUCGGGUUGUAAAGCACUUUCAGCGGGGAGGAAGGCGGUGAGGUUAAUAACCUCAUCGAUUGACGUUACCCGCAGAAGAAGCACCGGCUAACUCCGUGCCAGCAGCCGCGGUAAUACGGAGGGUGCAAGCGUUAAUCGGAAUUACUGGGCGUAAAGCGCACGCAGGCGGUCUGUCAAGUCGGAUGUGAAAUCCCCGGGCUCAACCUGGGAACUGCAUUCGAAACUGGCAGGCUAGAGUCUUGUAGAGGGGUGGAGAAUUCCCGGUGUAGCGGUGAAAUGCGUAGAGAUCUGGAGGAAUACCGGUGGCGAAGGCGGCCCCCUGGACAAAGACUGACGCUCAGGUGCGAAAGCGUGGGGAGCAAACAGGAUUAGAUACCCCGGUAGUC